UACAGAGGUGGCAAGCGUUGUUCGGAAUUACUGGGCGUAAAGAGCUCGUAGGCGGUUUGUCGCGUCUGCCGUGAAAGUCCGGGGCUCAACUCCGGAUCUGCGGUGGGUACGGGCAGACUAGAGUGAUGUAGGGGAGACUGGAAUUCCUGGUGUAGCGGUGAAAUGCGCAGAUAUCAGGAGGAACACCGAUGGCGAAGGCAGGUCUCUGGGCAUUAACUGACGCUGAGGAGCGAAAGCAUGGGGAGCGAACAGG
This 253-nucleotide ribosomal RNA is filed under the name uncultured bacterium. RNAcentral describes it as "partial 16S ribosomal RNA". It matches the Rfam family "Bacterial small subunit ribosomal RNA", at positions 524 to 776 of the family's 1533-position model. The record is from RNAcentral.